UACGAAGGGAGCUAGCGUUGUUCGGAAUCACUGGGCGUAAAGCGCACGUAGGCGGUCGUGUCAGUCAGGGGUGAAAUCCCGGAGCUCAACUGCGGAACUGCCUUUGAUACAGCACGUCUUGAGUCCGGAAGAGGUGGGUGGAAUUCCUAGUGUAGAGGUGAAAUUCGUAGAUAUUAGGAAGAACACCGGUGGCGAAGGCGGCCCACUGGUCCGGUACUGACGCUGAGACGCGAAAGCGUGGGGAGCAAACAGG
Molecule: ribosomal RNA, 253 nt
Filed under: uncultured bacterium
Lineage: Bacteria
Description: partial 16S ribosomal RNA
Rfam family: Bacterial small subunit ribosomal RNA
Source: RNAcentral